GAUGAAGAACGUAGUAAAAUGCGAUACUUGGUGUGAAUUGCAGAAUCCCGUGAACCAUCGAGUUUUUGAACGCAAGUUGCGCCCGAAGCCUUUUGGCCGAGGGCACGUAUGCCUGGGCGUCACGCAUCGCGUCGCCCCCCACAAUUCUCCGUAAAAGGAACAUGUGUUUUGGGGGCGGAUAUUGGUCUCCCGUGCUCAUGGCGUGGUUGGCCGAAAUAGGAGUCCUUUCGAUGGACGCACGAACUAGUGGUGGUCGUAAAAACCCUCGUCUUUUGUUUCGUGCUGUUGCUCGCAAGGUAAACUCUUUAAAAACCCCAAUGUGUCGUCUCUUGACGACGCUUCGACCGCGACCCCAGGUCAGGCGGGACUACCCGCUGAGUUUAAGCAUAUCAAUAAGCGGAGGA
Molecule: unclassified non-coding RNA, 404 nt
Filed under: soil metagenome
Description: partial contains 5.8S ribosomal RNA, internal transcribed spacer 2, and large subunit ribosomal RNA
Rfam family: 5.8S ribosomal RNA (bases 1-122)
Source: RNAcentral